This is a long non-coding RNA of Mercenaria mercenaria, 277 nucleotides long. RefSeq lists it as uncharacterized. The record is from RefSeq and is a predicted model, not a curated record. The transcript has 3 exons. Lineage: Eukaryota; Metazoa; Mollusca; Bivalvia; Venerida; Veneridae.
GUAUAGAAUAUGGACGGCACUCCAGUACAGCAUGUGCAUGGAUGGAUCUGUUGACAUUUUUAGAAACGCAUCUUGGUCUAUUAUACAGAGUAUUGUUGUACUGCUCCAAAGUGCUUGUUGACAGACUGAAACCACUUGCUUGCAGCUCAUAAGGUUUACUUCUUGAGAGCAGGCAGCUACAAAAUGGAAGGUCAACAAAUCCAGUAUACUUGAAAAGCAAGAAAGAAACACCAGAAAAUAUGAAAAGACAGAAAUACAAAGGAACUUGAAUAAACAA